UGAAACUUGUUCAUUCAUACUUUUUGUGUGGUUACUGAGCCUAAAUUGUUAGCCUCAGCUGAACGUUUGUAUGGUUUGAUCACUUCCUCAAAAUCAUUAUGAGCCAGAGUAGUUUGAUCAUUAACGUUGAAAGGAGUCGACAUAUAAGAGAAUAUGAUUGAUAAUACAUAUUUUUAGAUUCUUGUGUGAGUUGGUGAAAGUGAGUUUAGAAGUGCACGUUAAUUUACGAGGGUGAUAUAUUAGAUAGGAAAAAAUAUAGGAAUAUACAGUUUGUAUCUCUGCCCGUGUGUUUAAAAAUUUAGAUAAGUGACCCAAUUUUUUGGGUAAGUUGCAAAAGAUAUAAAACUUGAUAAUUAAUAGUCCGAUCAUAACAAAAACAUAAAAAAAAAAACAUGAUGGCUUUAAGACAAAUCCAAAGCAACAUGAAACAUUAAAAAUUUAAUAUCCGUGAUUAACAUGGCCUUUAACACAAGAUAGCCAUCCAAAAUUAAACUUAAACAUUGAAAUAGAGUAAAACCCUAAACAUUAAAAACUUAAAACGAGACAUAAGACCCAAACACAAAAACUUAAAACAUUCAACAUAAGAUAGCCAUUCAAAAUUGAAAAAGAGUAAAACCGUAAACAUUAAAGCUAAGGCCUAAUCAGACGAUCCCAGAUCUUCAAAUCCAAAAGCGAGAGAAGGACCAGACCAUCAAGGAGCACAAACUCAAAAGUCAUUUGCAAGUUGUGAAUAGAAUCAACCAGGAAGUAUAGAGCGGCAACACCAAACCCUAAACUUCCUCCUUCAACCAAAAAUCAAAGUUUUCCAUUGACAAACAUCUUGGAAGAUGCGUUUAGGGUCGCAUACAUCACAACAGCUUGAAUAAAGAACAUGAGGAAUGAAGCGCUUACAACUGUCUGAAGAGGGAUCGUGUAGGAUGGAGGAUUAGUAGUAGUUAAGAAUAGAGCAAGUAAAAAAAGCAACAGAAAAUGCGAAAAACUUAGUGGGGAUGAAUGGGAAGAUGGUGGAGAUGAUCCAAUCUAUGGAUUCUUUG
RNAcentral lists this long non-coding RNA (1034 nucleotides) under Brassica rapa (field mustard). RNAcentral's name for it is "long non-coding RNA (BRAP_LNC000279)". Lineage: Eukaryota; Viridiplantae; Streptophyta; Magnoliopsida; Brassicales; Brassicaceae. The record is from RNAcentral.